GUUUUAAAAUUAUAGUAUGAAUACUUUUAUGUAUUUUUUAGGAAGCCAAGUUGUCUGAAACAAUUUCAGCUUCCAAUGCCUGGAAAAGUCAUUAUGAGAAAAUUGUAAUAGAAAAAACUGAAUUGGAAGUACAGAUUGAAACAAUGAAAAAGCAAAUCGUUAAUCUUUUGGACGAUCUGAAGAAAAUGGAAGACCAUGGAAAAAAUUCAUGUGAAGAAAUUCUUAGAAAAGUUCACUCAAUUGAAUAUGAAAAUGAAAUUCUGAAUCUUGAGAAUACAAAAUUAAAGACUACACUUGCUGCUUUGAAGGAUGAAGUUGUAUCUGUUGAAAAUGAACUCUUAGAAUUGCAAGAAGUAGAAAAAAAACAGAAAACCCUUAUUGAAAUGUAUAAA
Molecule: small RNA, 392 nt
Filed under: Pongo abelii (Sumatran orangutan)
Lineage: Eukaryota; Metazoa; Chordata; Mammalia; Primates; Hominidae
Description: retained intron
Source: RNAcentral